RNAcentral lists this small RNA (549 nucleotides) under Hordeum vulgare subsp. vulgare (domesticated barley). The record is from RNAcentral. Lineage: Eukaryota; Viridiplantae; Streptophyta; Magnoliopsida; Poales; Poaceae.
GAGACCCAUUUCUCCCUCCACCUCGCCUCGCCGCCGCUAGGUAAGAUAGCUUCGCGCCAUGCCGUCGCCGCGUCCGCCGUGCUCCAGCCGAGCAGCAGCUCGGGCCCGGAGUUGAUCUCCGUCGCUCCCUCGCCCUCUGGUGCACGGGAAGGGAUCCUCCCCGUGCUCCUCUCCGUCUUCGACGGCUCGCGGGGUCCCAAGGAGUCGCCUCGACGUCGUCUGCUUCCUCUUCUUCUUCAGGCAGAACCGGUUCGGAUGCGCGCCAGACUUCAGCAGCUCGCCGUCGCCUUCUGAAGCCUCGUUCCACAUCGUUUUCAUGCCCUAGGUACAGGUAACGCAGAAGCAGAUGCUUACGAGGACAACCAGUUGAAGUGGGAGUUUGACGAGGACAGUAGCCGGAUGUACGUGAUGUACCCCGAUGACUAGACGUAUUUGGUCGUGAUCGUGGGCCUAGCGAGGCAAGAACAUUGCUUUUGUUGUUUAUCUUGUCCGUAGUCGGACCCUGCCUUCUGAAUGAUUUGAAUAAAUGUUGUGUGGAUCUUGUAACCC